Molecule: non-coding RNA, 68 nt
Organism: Nerophis lumbriciformis (worm pipefish)
Lineage: Eukaryota; Metazoa; Chordata; Actinopteri; Syngnathiformes; Syngnathidae
Source: RefSeq, a predicted model, not a curated record
UACAGUGAUGAUUCAUUAGACUAGAGUCUCUGAUUUCACAAUGAAGAUCUUUCACAGUGCACUGAGUA